AAACACACCUCAUCCUUCACACACACAACAUGCUCAACCUUCACUAGCCACGUGACUUUCUUUUCCACAUCAUCCUGAAUUUGCUUUUCUGAAAUUUACUUUUCAAUCUUCUGACUUUUCUUCAUACAUAACAAGAUUGGACAAAGUGCUUGAAAAGCAAAUGGAAACAUUUUAUGAAUAACUCCCAAAAGGGAAGACAUACAAAUAUUUUUAAAGUUUCCCUUCCACAGAAAUGAGCUUAAGUCAACACUACAGUUGCCACUAAGUGUAAGGAUUCGUGAAGGGGAAAACGACAGACUCCAUUCCCUCUGUUCUGCUCAAGUAAUGCAAAUUAGAGUGCCUGGAAUAAGGGGACCAAGGCCUGAGAUCAAGGAUAAAGUGGUGUCCGCCAACAACCUCUUGUGUUUUGAUCACCAUCAUUAUUCUAAUAAAGGAAGCUGAAAGUUGUAUUAC
RNAcentral lists this non-coding RNA (453 nucleotides) under Pongo abelii (Sumatran orangutan). The record is from RNAcentral. Lineage: Eukaryota; Metazoa; Chordata; Mammalia; Primates; Hominidae.